AGUGCUUCUUCACAUUUCCACCUACUAAUCAUCUUCUUGUAAUAUGGAGUUAAUCAUCCAAGUAGGAACAUGAAUCCAAGUUCCUCAGACAUGAAUCUAAUAUGAUAUCCGAUCCCGGUUUUUUUCGGAUAUCCGAUCCGUUUCUACAAGACUCAGGUGCUACAAUCAGGCCCGAAAAGCUCAGAAUCGUUAUCUUGCUAAACUACUUACUAAGAUUGCAAAAAGAGCGAGGAGAAUCCCUCUGCUUGUUACAAAGAUGGAUCGCUGUGAUCCGGAGAAGUUUACCCUCUGUGCUUGAUCUCUG
Arabidopsis thaliana (thale cress) is the source of this 304-nucleotide long non-coding RNA. RefSeq annotates it as other RNA. The transcript has 2 exons. Lineage: Eukaryota; Viridiplantae; Streptophyta; Magnoliopsida; Brassicales; Brassicaceae. The record is from RefSeq.